RNAcentral lists this ribosomal RNA (1800 nucleotides) under Triticum aestivum (bread wheat). RNAcentral describes it as "partial small subunit ribosomal RNA". The record is from RNAcentral. Lineage: Eukaryota; Viridiplantae; Streptophyta; Magnoliopsida; Poales; Poaceae.
AUGGCCAAGUUCUCCAUGGCGGCCUCCAACCUCUGCAUGGCCAUUGUUGCCCUGGCCGCGGUUGCGGCAGCUGCCGUCGGCGAGGUCGCCGCCGACGUCGAGCACACCUUUGUUGUGAGCGAGAUGAAGAUGACGCACCUGUGCAACGAGACGCUGGUCACCGUGGUGAACGGGCAGCUCCCUGGUCCGGCGAUCGAGGUCACCGAGGGAGACUCCGUCGCCGUCCAUGUCGUCAACAAAUCUCCCCACAACAUAACAAUCCAUUGGCACGGAUUGAAGCAGCGGCUCAACUGCUGGGCCGACGGCGUGCCGAUGAUCACGCAGUGCCCUAUCCGGCCAGGCCAAAACUUCACGUACCAUCUCAACGUCACCGGGCAGGAAGGCACCCUGUGGUGGCACGCUCACGUCUCCUGCCUCCGGGCGAGCCUGCACGGUGCCUUCAUCAUCCGACCGCGGCACGCCUACCCAUUUCCCAAGCCCGACAAGGAGAUCCCCAUCGUUAUAGGUGAGUGGUGGAGCAUCAACCUCGCGCAGUUGGGCAAGAACAUGGAGGAUGGCUACUACGAUGACACCUCCAGUGCAACCACGAUCAAUGGCAAGCUUGGAGAUCUCUACAACUGCUCCGGGGUCGUGGAAGAUGGGUUGGUGCUGGACGUGGAGCCCGGCAAGACCUACCUGCUCCGCCUCCUCAACGCCGCGCUCUACUCCGAGUACUACCUCAAGAUCGCCGGGCACGAGUUCACGGUGGUCGGCGCCGACGCCAACUACGUCCGCCCCUUCACCACGGACGUCGUCGCCAUCGGCCCCGGCGAGACUCUGGACGCGCUUGUGGUCGCCAACGCGAUCCCCGGCAAGUACUACAUGGUCGCCGUUGGUGGCCAGGCGCCCAAGCCCGACAUCCAGAUCCCCGCGACCCUGUCGAGAGCGACGGUGCGGUACGCGAUCGGCGCCGGCAACAGUGACGAGGCGGCGCCGCCGGUGGCGCCGGAGAUGCCUGACCAGCACGACUUCAUGGUGUCCUUCAACUUCCAUGGCAACUUGAGCAGCCUGAACCGGACGGGCUCGCCGCCGGUGCCGGCGACCGCUGAUGAGAGCCUGUUCGUCGUGCUCCGCAUGGGCUCCAUCUGCCGACAAGGUCGACUGUCCUGCAAGAGGAGCGGGAGCAAGGAGUCCAUCAUCGUGGAGACCAUGAACAACGUGUCCUUCCAGCUCCCCGCCGCGGCGGCAGCCACGCCGCUGCUGGAGGAGCUCUACUACGACAACCGCCGCAACGGAACGGCCGGCGGCGGCGGCGGCGGGCUUGACCAGCUGUACAUGCUGCCGGACAGGCCGGCGAGGCCGUUCAACUACACCGACCGCGCCCUGAUCCCGUGGGGCCCCAACGAGGCGUGGCUGGAGCCGACGGAGAAAGCGGCGGUGGCGCGGCGGUUCCGGCACGGCGCGGUGGUGGACAUCGUGUUCCAGAACGCGGCGAUGAUGGACACCGACAACCACCCGAUGCAUCUGCACGGGCAUGACAUGUUCAUCCUCGCGCAGGGGCACGACAACUACGACACGGUGAGGGACGUGGCGAAGUACAAUCUCGUGGAUCCGCCGCUCAGGAACACGGUGCUUGUCCCCAGGCUAGGGUGGGCUGCCGUCCGGUUCGUGGCCGACAAUCCAGGGGUGUGGUACAUGCACUGCCACUACGAGCUUCAUGUGUCGAUUGGAAUGGCAGCUGUGUUCAUCGUAGACGACGGGCCAACAUUGGAAUCAGCUCUUCCAUCACCGCCUGUAGAUUUUCCGAAAUGCAACCAAUAG